This 333-nucleotide long non-coding RNA is filed under the name Capsella grandiflora. RNAcentral's name for it is "long non-coding RNA (CGRA_LNC001354)". Lineage: Eukaryota; Viridiplantae; Streptophyta; Magnoliopsida; Brassicales; Brassicaceae. The record is from RNAcentral.
ACUGGCGGACCCAUAUAGAAAUUAGGGAGGUCAACUGACCUGGGUAAAAUGCUAAAAUAAAGUGUUUUUGUUUAUAUAUUAGUGUAAUUUCAGCAGCAAAGUUGGUUUUCUUGAGAUUUUUGACACCCCAAACCCAAGUUCAAUACUCUCAUAUUACAUUUAUGGGUUCUUCUUGUGUUUUUUAAAAUAUUUAAUUGCUAAAAAAAGUUUUUGACCCGGGUAAAAUUUUCUCCUGGGUCCGCCACUGGCCACGUCAGACAAAAAGGCGCGUGCCACCAAUAACUCAGCCAUAACCUACGUUACGGCUGAGUUAUAUCACGUUAUGGCUGAGUU